This is a long non-coding RNA of Alnus glutinosa, 1230 nucleotides long. RefSeq lists it as uncharacterized. The transcript is spliced from 4 exons. NCBI's taxonomy places the organism in Eukaryota, Viridiplantae, Streptophyta, Magnoliopsida, Fagales, Betulaceae. The record is from RefSeq and is a predicted model, not a curated record.
UGAUUCAAUUGGUACCCACAACAAAAGAGGCAUUCUUCGCUGCUGAGAUGUGAGAAUGAAAUGAUACUGAAGGUGCAAAAUCUUAAGCAAAGUCAAAAGGUGAGACAUGAGAUGCUUCUCAACACCCUUGUGAUGGACUCUACCAACAUGGCAAACUUGUCCUUCCAUGCGCAAAGCCCAUAAUUACAGGCACCCUCUUUUGCACUCUUCCUUUGAUUUGCUAAGGAAUUUCAGAUGUAGAGGAUAUGCCUCUUGGUGAAUCGCAAUUACAUCAAUCAAUUUGCCCCCAGAACUUGAGACAGAGUCACUAGCUUGGGUUAUAAUAAUGAUUCCUGAUUGCUUUAGCCAUCAUAAAGAGGUUUCAUAUUCUAAUUUGUGUAAAAUAGACAUCAAUAAGCCUGUGCAUUUGGAUUCAGAGAAGACAAUUAGACAAGAUUUGCUUUCUAUGUUGUUAUUGGAACAGAGCAUCUACAAGAUAUGCUUUAUUUUUUAAUUCUCGUUGAGAUCAUCUAUUUUGGUCAACGAAUCUAUUUUUAGAGGUCCUUUCCUAUAUAUAAUUCAGCCAUCUUAGUUCAACUUUCAGAGAAGUUGUGAUGGUGAUGGUGAUGAUGACAACUUGGAAUCCAAUUAGUACCCACAACAAAAGAGGCAAUCUUCUUCCUCAUUCUUCUUCUUUGCUUGCUGCUUGUUGCCUAGUUAGUGAUCGACAUUGCUGUUUAUGACUUGCAUAAUCUGGCAGGAGAGUCACAUGCUGCAACUUCCACUUCAGAUGUUAUGGUACUCUUACCAAACAAUCCAUGGCUAUCUCAUCAGGCAGGCUCGGAAUCAACUGCUACUGCUGCUGUUGUUUGAGUUUCUGGAAAUUCUCGGUACUGUUCUGUGCUUGUUCCCUUUCUUGUUUCUUGUACUAUAUUCAAUCUCUUUCAAGAGUGAACAAAAUUUAUGAGAUUUGAUGGGGAAUUUGCAAUUUACCAAAUGGCCGAUUACUUUGCUGGUAAUUGCAAGUCCUCUUUGAGGCCACAUUGCACUUACUGGCUGAAAUUGUGUGGAGUUUGUUCUACGUGUGGUUACGUGUGUGACCUACAGUGGGUCAGACUUUAUCUAUUUAUUUUUUUAAAAAAAAAUAAUUUUUAAUUAUUAAAUCAAUGUAUUUUUGUAAUUUUAUUAACAUCUAAGGAGUAUAAGGAACAUUUUACUUGCCAACUGUUUGAUUUAAUGUCGAAUUUAGGU